GACGAACGCUGGCGGCGUGCCUAAUACAUGCAAGUAGAACGCACAGUUUAUACCGUAGCUUGCUACACCAUAGACUGUGAGUUGCGAACGGGUGAGUUACGCGUAGGUAACCUGCCUGGUAGCGGGGGAUAACUAUUGGAAACGAUAGCUAAUACCGCAUAAUAUUAAUUAUUGCAUGAUAAUUAAUUGAAAGGUGCAAUUGCACCACUACCAGAUGGACCUGCGUUGUAUUAGCUAGUAGGCGAGGUAACGGCGCACCUAGGCGACGAUACAUAGCCGACCGGCGAGGGUGAGCGGCCACACUGGGACUGUGACACGGCCCAGAGGCCUUCAGGAGGCAGCAGGAGUGAAACGUCGGCAAGGGGCGAAAGUCUGACCGAGCUACGCCGCGGGAGGGAAGAAGGUUGUCGGGUCGGAAAGCUCUGUUGUAGGGGAAGAACGGGCGUGAGAGUGGAAAGUUCACACUGUGACGGUAUCUGACCAGAAAGGGACGGCUAACUACGUG
RNAcentral lists this ribosomal RNA (505 nucleotides) under uncultured bacterium. Its description in RNAcentral is "partial 16S ribosomal RNA". It matches the Rfam family "Bacterial small subunit ribosomal RNA", at positions 28 to 507 of the family's 1533-position model. The record is from RNAcentral.